Molecule: ribosomal RNA, 721 nt
Filed under: Frederiksenia canicola
Lineage: Bacteria; Pseudomonadati; Pseudomonadota; Gammaproteobacteria; Pasteurellales; Pasteurellaceae
Description: bacterial SSU rRNA
Rfam family: Bacterial small subunit ribosomal RNA
Source: RNAcentral
GGCGGACGGGUGAGUAAUGCUUGGGAAUCUGGCUUAUGGAGGGGGAUAACUACUGGAAACGGUAGCUAAUACCGCGUAAUAUCGAGAGAUUAAAGACUGGGACCUACGGGCCAGUUGCCAUAAGAUGAGCCCAAGUGGGAUUAGGUAGUUGGUGGGGUAAAGGCCUACCAAGCCCGCGAUCUCUAGCUGGUCUGAGAGGAUGACCAGCCACACUGGAACUGAGACACGGUCCAGACUCCUACGGGAGGCAGCAGUGGGGAAUAUUGCACAAUGGGGGGAACCCUGAUGCAGCCAUGCCGCGUGAAUGAAGAAGGCCUUCGGGUUGUAAAGUUCUUUCGGUGGUGAGGAAGGUAUCAACUUUAAUAGAGUUGGUAAUUGACGUUAUCCACAGAAGAAGCACCGGCUAACUCCGUGCCAGCAGCCGCGGUAAUACGGAGGGUGCGAGCGUUAAUCGGAAUGACUGGGCGUAAAGGGCACGCAGGCGGAUUGUUAAGUGAGAUGUGAAAGCCCCGGGCUUAACCUGGGAAUUGCAUUUCAGACUGGCAAUCUAGAGUAUUUUAGGGAGGGGUAGAAUUCCACGUGUAGCGGUGAAAUGCGUAGAGAUGUGGAGGAAUACCGAAGGCGAAGGCAGCCCCUUGGGAAUAUACUGACGCUCAUGUGCGAAAGCGUGGGGAGCAAACAGGAUUAGAUACCCUGGUAGUCCACGCUGUAAAACGAUGUC